AGGACGAACGCUUGCGACGUGCCUAAGAAAUGCAAGUCGAACGGGGUCAUCCUUCGGGGUGGCCUAGUGGCGAACGGUCGCGUAACACGUGGGCAACCUGCCCUGAAGCGGGGGACAACACACCGAAAGGUGUGCUAAUACCGCAUGUGAAUCGUGGUGGCAUCACCGAGGAUUCAAAGCCGCAAGGCACUUCAGGAUGGGCCCGCGGCCUAUCAGCUAGUUGGUGAGGUAACGGCCCACCAAGGCUUCGACGGGUAGCUGGUCUGAGAGGACGAUCAGCCGGAUUGGGACUGAGAUACGGCCCAGACUCCUACGGGGGGCAGCAAUUAGGAAUCUUGCGCAAUGGGCGAAAGCCUGACGCAGCGACGUCGCGUGAAGGAUGAAAUCUUUCGGGAUGUAAACUUCUUUUUCGGGGAAGAACAAUGACGGUACCCGAAGAAUAAGCCCGGCUAACUACGCGCCAGCAGCCGC
Molecule: ribosomal RNA, 471 nt
Filed under: uncultured bacterium
Lineage: Bacteria
Description: SSU rRNA
Rfam family: Bacterial small subunit ribosomal RNA
Source: RNAcentral